This 253-nucleotide ribosomal RNA is filed under the name uncultured bacterium. RNAcentral's name for it is "partial 16S ribosomal RNA". It matches the Rfam family "Bacterial small subunit ribosomal RNA", at positions 524 to 776 of the family's 1533-position model. The record is from RNAcentral.
UACGAAGGGGGCUAGCGUUGCUCGGAAUCACUGGGCGUAAAGCGCACGUAGGCGGCUUCUUAAGUCAGGGGUGAAAUCCUGGAGCUCAACUCCAGAACUGCCUUUGAUACUGAGAGGCUCGAGUCUGGGAGAGGUGAGUGGAACUCCGAGUGUAGAGGUGAAAUUCGUAGAUAUUCGGAAGAACACCAGUGGCGAAGGCGGCUCACUGGCCCGGUACUGACGCUGAGGUGCGAAAGCGUGGGGAGCAAACAGG